RNAcentral lists this long non-coding RNA (4011 nucleotides) under Octopus sinensis (East Asian common octopus). RNAcentral describes it as "uncharacterized LOC118766948, transcript variant X2". The record is from RNAcentral. Lineage: Eukaryota; Metazoa; Mollusca; Cephalopoda; Octopoda; Octopodidae.
ACACACACACACACAUAUAAAUAUAUAUAUAAAUCUUACUUUGCCAUCACUUGAAGUGUUAGGGAAUUGUAAUUAAUGGCAUAGGCAAUGUGCCUGCUACUGAAUUGUUGGGGUCUUUACUCUUUGUCCUCUUAGCUAAAUGAAUGUCUGACUAGAAAACAUCGAAGCACAUCCACACACACACACACACACACACUUGCUGUUCCUCUUGUUUCCACCCACUACCAGAGCCUGAACUAUAGAGAUAUACUUAAGAUAACAUAAUAGAUAUUGCUCUACUUGUGUGUUAUCUGAACUUUUAUUUAUAUUAAAAUAUAUCUUUUAGUAUUUUCCAUUUAUAGUGGUGGCUGUCAUUGUAGUGCUCCUAUUUAAAAAAACUGUGGGUAAUUCUGAAUAAUUUAUUCAUUUGGUUACUUCUGUGGGAUUCUGGAUUGGAUGACUUUAGUAGAAUGGUAAUAUUCUGGAAUUAAUUUCAUCAACUACCAAAUCCUCACCUUCUCUAGAAAAUUCAUCUUUUGCCAAUUUGUCUCCCAAAACCCUCUUUUUUUUUAUUUUCAUUAUACUACUAAUGUAUUUUGCAUGUGGGGGAAACAGUAUUCGCUAGACUACAUGGCUAACUAUGUCACAGUAUUUAGAUUUUCUCUACUACCUUCUGAUUUCAAAUCUCAAAGGAUUUGAUUCUAUCUGCCAUCCCUUUAGGGAUCAAGAAAAGAAGUACUAAACAUGUAUUGGUUUAGUACUUCUUCAAUCAACUAUGUUUUAGUUGUGUACCAAUGUGAGAAAUUAUCAUCAUCAUUAUUAUUAUUAUUAUUAUUGAGCUGGCAAAAUUGUUAGCACACAGGUGAAAUACAUAAUGGUAUUUUGUCUGUCUUUAUGUUCUGAGUUCAAAUUCUGCCAAAGUCGACUUUACCUUUCAUUCUUUCAAGGUUGAUAAAAUAAGUACCAGUUGAACACCGAGGUUGAUGUAAUCUCUUUAUCUCCCCCCACAAAAUUGUUGGCCUUGUGCCAAAAUUUAAAAUCACCAUUAUUAUUAUUAUUAUUAUAGAAGGGAUGAAGAUUUUCUUUGAAAGUUGUUUCUAUUGUUUGUCUUACACUCAACAACCAGAAAGAUAAUUGUCUGUGAUAUUGAAUUAGCAAUUUUGAUUAUGCCCCACCCUUUCAUAUUUACUAAAUUUCUUUGCUAUGUUUUGGUAUGAUGUCUUUCUGUAAAGGUAAAGACAAAAAGGAAGGGAUAGGGUGCAUCAGAAUCAAGUAAUUAUAUUGUAAAUAUAUCUUUGGAAAUAAUUAUUAUUUUAUGAAUUCAGUGAUUAAUUGAUUUGAAAAUUUAUUUCCAUUUCUUUCCCUUCUUUUUUUAAAUACUUAUUAUUAUUUUUUUUUUGUCUUUCUGAAAUGUCUUCUUCCUCCUCUUUCUGUCUCAUAUCAUCAUCAUCUUCCAUAGACUUCACCAUUUCUCUCUGCAUUACUUCAUUUAUUUGUGGAGAAUUAUUCCCUCCCACCAGUUAAACCUUUCUACUCAACCUGGAAUUUACAUAUGUGUGUGUGUGUGUAUGUGUAGAUAUAUAUUGAUAGCUGAUUAGUAAAUAUUCAAAAGACAUAGAUAAAGGUUACACACAUGCAAGGAAGAGUGGUCACUGAUAGGUUGACUUGAUCGAGUAGUUCUGUGAAGGAAAAUUCAGAAGUUUGAAAAGUUUUACAGUUAUUAAAGAUAAAUUAUUAUGAUAAGAAUGAUGGAUUGACACUAUUGUUAGUGUCAGACCAAAUGCUCUGUGAUUAUUUCUUCCAGCUCUUUUUACAUUCUGAGUUGAAAUUCUAUCAAGGUCAGCUCUGCCUUUCAUCCUUCCAGAGUUAAUAAAAGAAAGUACUAGUAAAGUACUGAAGUAUCAACUAUACCUCCUCCCUUCAAAGCCGCUGGCCUUGCAUCUAAAUUAAAGCAUUAUUAUUAAAUUGAUGGAGAGGUAGUAUUUGGUUGACCUCCUGACAAAAUAUAUAUUAGGGUUGGAUAAAAUGAAGCCCUAGUAGUCUAUAGGGUUUUUGAAUCAAUCAUGUGUACUCUUCCUUAGAACUGUGUGAUCCUGUGACAUUGUGAAAAAUCAUUAUUAAGAUGAAUAGAAUGACUUAAGUGGUGGAGCACAGGAUGAACGUGUUUUGUGGUAUUUAGGUAAGUUUAUGUUCUUAACCAAUAAAAUAUGCACUUGUGAUCUACUAGUGAUCUGAUAUAAGAAACCAUUAUUAUGAAGGUGAGACAGAAAAUAAUGCAACUUUUAUUUGCAUUAUUUUCUGGUUCAUCCUUGUGCUAUUUACUCUUUCAUUCAAGUACUAAUAUUGAUUUAAUCAACAAACCUCUCCCCCAAAUUUUUGGCCUAUGUUAGAAACAUUAUUGUCAUUAUUAUUAUUUCAUUUUAAAGACUUUAUGGGAAACAUACAGUGAAAGGUUUGAUAUUUUAAUCAAUGAAGUACAGCUGUUAUUUGCAUUCUCCCCCAAGCACCUGGUUUAUAUAUGCAGUGCUUUCUGUUGGGUUCAAAACUAAGACAGCCGUCUGACAUAAACAAGGUAUAUAUUUGGCCUUUGAACUCUUGAAUACUGCAUCUGUAAAUGGUGAGUGGCGGCAGUGUAGGUUGUGGUGUAUAAAAAUCAAGCUAAAGAUAAAAAAUUAUCAGUUAUUAAGAAUUAUCAAAUGCAAUUUAACUGUUCUGCUUAAUAUUACAGCAAACACUUGAUAAAGAGAAAAAAAAUGGUUGUCACACACAUGUAUAGAUUUAUAUACAUUCACACUCAUACAACUAUACAUUCCUCAUUUCUGGUUGUCAUCUACAUUGUUAUUGUUAUUAUUACAGUUUUAUAUAAACAACCUGGUGAAUUAUCUCAUUUGGAUUUGUGUCCAUUAAUAUAUCAGAAGAGCCAACAAGCAUAUUGUUUGUGGAAAAAGAAAAAAAAACUGAUUUAAAAAAAAAAAUCAGUGGCUGUUUUUUGCUGUUGUUUGUUGUAGUCAGCUCUGAUAGAAUAGUCUCUAUCACUGGAGUAACUAAUUAAACAUUUAAUGACUUUCAAGAACAGAUCUCUGUCUUAUAGGUUCUUGGUUUUUAAACAUACAGUCCACUGUGAUGGUAUCUGAUUGCUAAGCUUGUCUGGUUGCCAGAUAACAUUGAACAUAUUUAAUGGAAAUCUUUUAGCUUGAAUGGCUGUUUUAGCUCUGUCUUCCAUGUUUCCUUUAUGGUUACUGAAAACAAAUUUUUGGUUUGAUCAAACAAAAAUGUCUUUUUCAAAUUUAAAUCCUGACAUGAAUGAGCUGGUUCUAGAAAUUCACUCUGCAUGAAUUGUUGAAGCAAGCACUGUUUUUUUUUUUAAGCAGCUGGAUAUCCUUCUUUAAUCAUUCAACUAUAUAGAGGGAGAGAUAUCCAAUAUUUAGCUAGAUAACCUAACAUAAUAUACUGUGCUUUUGCCAAGGGUCUACUUCACACAGGCAUCUCCUUCCCUCUACUUUCACACAAUAUGUGCGCAGCAGAGUCAAAUGUCUUUUAGUUGUGCUUAAUGUGAUUUCUAGUAUCUUGACACAGUUGGUAUAAUGAAAAGAAAGUGUAGAUACAAAAUGGCUUGUGAAAUCUAUCACAAAGUGUGAGUGACAUUUAGUUUUGCUAAUUAUCAUAUGAACUCCAUAUCUAAGAACACCCAAGUAUAUUAGUGCUUUAGUUUCUGUCCAAUGGGACAGCAGAACAAAGUCUACUUUCUUUUUUUAUCUUGUUAUUAUGUACAUAAUGGUUGUUUAGUUUAUGUGGCUGUUGUGCCACCAAUCUAGCUGCUGUUAUCAAUAUGUACCAAGUAUACAGUGUGGUCUAAUUGUUGGUUGUAAACUGUCCCAUGUACUGUUGAUGGUAUAGUUAAAUAUUUGGUGUUGAAACUUCUCUGCUAUAUAUUCAGUCUAACUUUUAUGGUAGUGUUAAGAGAAGUCUAAUUUAACUCUCUAAAGUAGCUUAGAUCUGCUCACACACAGUACCUAGUGUGUUUCUGUUCAG